Non-coding RNA from Schistosoma mansoni, 45 nucleotides. NCBI's taxonomy places the organism in Eukaryota, Metazoa, Platyhelminthes, Trematoda, Strigeidida, Schistosomatidae. The record is from Rfam.
AUCCAGCUGACGAGCCACGAAUAGGACGAAACGCGCAUCUUGGAU